This is a non-coding RNA of Camellia sinensis, 1309 nucleotides long. Lineage: Eukaryota; Viridiplantae; Streptophyta; Magnoliopsida; Ericales; Theaceae. The record is from RefSeq and is a predicted model, not a curated record.
CGCCCAAGGCCUUCGACUAACUAACAAUCUGAAACACCGUAAACAAAACAAAUAAGACAUAUGGUUACUGUUCAUCAUUGUUAGUCCGCUCCGGACUGCCAUGGCAGCAAACAAACUGGCCCCUGGCCCUGCUAUUAGAAAAUUAGUCUGUUGGUAUUGGGAAGCAAUUUACUAUUUUACCCAUGUUGUUGCCCUAGCUCGUCACUUUUGUGGAAGCAGCAGCAGCAGUAACAGAGAGGCAAGAAGAGAAGUUCUCUCUCUCUCAAUUACGGCGUCGGUUGGACGCUUCAUCUUCAAAUUUUCGAUCUUCAGAUUCAGCUGAGCAUCUGCUGCAUUGAAUGGAUUUGAUCAGUGCCCUGCCAGUAGAUGGAAGACUUGAAAUUCUACAGCGUGUUCCUUUUGUAGAAGCAGCAAGAGCAGACAUCUUGUCGAGUACAAGCAUUUGGUCUGAUCGUCCACAACUUGUGUUUAAUAAGUUCUUGUUUGAAGAGCGCAGCAGAUGGAUUGCACUCGAUCUAACUGCAUGGGUGGACAAAGUGAACGAAACUAUCCGUCGUCACAACGGUCCCAUUGGAAACGUUAUUCUCCACGUUCCGGACAAACAAUUUAAAUGGGCCCCGCAUAUUAACAUCUGGGUUUUUUCCCUGUCAAGGAAGAGUAUCGAGGGACUCACAGUGGAUUAAUUGCCAAAAUGAUACAUACAAGAUCGGUUUUCUCUCUUCUUGCCUAAACUUGACAAGAUUGGAGCUCCGUAAUUGUAUUUUCAACCAAUCAUCUGGUGUUUUUCGGAAUCUCCAGCACAUUUAUCUUAAGAAAAUAGCAUUUGGUUCCGACCAAGUUGGUACUGUUAACCUCGAUGCCCCAUCGCUGGUGUUUUUAAAUCUUUCUUACUGUGUUGGCUUUAAAUAUUUGAAUGUCCAUGCUCCAAAUCUCAAAGUCGUUUCUGCCGUCAACGAAUAUGACGCAAUUCUUGAUGACAAGGAUGAAUUUUCUUUAAGGGUUAGGCGGACAAAAUGCAAUGUCCAUUGGUUGUUCUGUGGUUGACAUGAUGUUUAUUAAGUAUGAUGGAACAGGGAAUUCUUGUUCCAUAUUUCACUCGCAUUGGAUGGGUUGCAAAAGCAAGCAUGCUGUGGCUUAUUGUAUAGUGAUAAAUGUUUUAGAUGUUUAUGAAAUUGUUUAAAGCUCUUUAUUUUGAAGAAAGUCUUGUGUUUGUGCAAGGCACUUCUAUGCUGUGAUAAAAAGUAUUGGUGAAACGGUUAUUCAUACUCUGUUUAUUGGUCAUUAUUAAUAUGAUUUUGGGUUUGUAAUA